This is a non-coding RNA of Python bivittatus (Burmese python), 4037 nucleotides long. Lineage: Eukaryota; Metazoa; Chordata; Lepidosauria; Squamata; Pythonidae. The record is from RefSeq and is a predicted model, not a curated record.
AGCUUCCUGUUCCUUUUCCUGCCCCUUGGCUUCCUUUUGGUGGAUGGUUCGAAAGUGUGGGCAAAUUUAGGCCAACCCCACCACUGUGCUAAUCCAAUGAUUAACCCUGUCUCUCUCUGUUACAGCUAAGGGAAAAUGGCCAGUGAGCAAGCAGCGGCAUUUGUUCCUGCUCUCUCCAUAGGACACUGGUUUAUUCUCUCCAAACACCUGGGAAACAAGAAGGCAUGAAAACAGAGGUGGGGAAACAUUAAUCAGCUUAAUUUAAUGCUCGCACGUGUGUUAGGAGUCCAGCACUGCUUCUUCCACUCCAAGUUCUUAAGUAAAGACUACAGAUGUAGACUGCAGAACUCCAUAUGACCCUAGAUGGUAGCAAAGAGACAUAACACUCCAAGUCUGUGCUGCAAUGUAAUGGUCCUCCUGAUUUUUUGUAGCCCAGAUUUGGUAGCUCUGCAUACUUAAAUCAUUUUCCAGCAAGGAAUGUCUUGGCUACUGAAUUUCUAUCUGACAGGUGGCUACUAAUGUCACACAGGAAAGGAGUCUACAUUCAGUUCAUCUAUGGAGGACCCAAGGCUGCUGUAUUGGAAGAAGUUCUGCUGCAGUUGACAGGGCUAGGCCAGGAUCUACCCACCACAGAGCUUGCAAAAGGACUGAGUGCAAUAUCAUAACCGUUAGGCCUCUUCUGGUGAUGGUUGUUGCAACUGAGGAGCCCAUGGUGCCUGACACCAGCUUGAAAAACAUCACACAAUGGACACAAACCUACCACAGCAUCAUGAAGAGCUCUGAAAGGAGGAAGGCAAAACUUCUCCCCUUUCUCCCAGGAAGUACAAGGGGAGGAGAGAAAAGGGAGCAGAAGUAUUGGGCUAGAUCUAAUACAAUCUAGAUGAGCCUCAAGCUGUCCCAUGCAUGAAACAGCCUAAAUUGGCAUAAGUUGUUAUAUUAUUAUAUUGGUAUAAAUGUAAAAUUCAAGUCAACACUAAACAAGGGGAAACUAAAGAUCCUAACCUAACUCAGAAAGUCAAACAUGAUAGGCAUCACUAAAAUGUGAGAUAUUAUUCAUGAUUGGCACACAGCCCUGGAAGUCUAUAAUUUAUUCAAAAGGUACAGAUCCUGGGUGGGGUAAGUUACACUGUAUGUAGUGACAAAAGUAUUCUUGCACAGAAAUCCAAGAAUCCGAGCAUGGAAAUUCUGUUGGAAGGCGAGAAAAACUAACAUGAUGCUGUUGUAGGAGUUUAUAAAGCGGUCAUGAUAUCCAGAGGAAGAGGAAUUGAGAACAGUCAGACCUGCACAUUGGACUUCAGAAGAGCUGGUUUUGAUGAACUUCUAGGGAAGAUUCCAUUUGGGGUACUGUGCAGUUCUGGGCAUCACAGUUCAAAGAGGACAAAUUGGUGAAAACUCAGAGAGGGACUACCAAGAAUACUCUGGAUCCCAAACCCUACGAGGAACGGCUAAAGGAUUUAGAGUGGUUCAGUAUUGAAAAAUUGUGGCUUUUGACAACCUGAAUGUAAUAAUCACUCAAGUCCUAAGGGCAGUAUUUUCAAGUACGAACCUUGGCAAUAAAAAGCACGCAGUAUACAAGGAAAAGUUCACAGCUCGACAGGCCAGGCACCAGCUGAAAGUGGUUUUCUUCACGCUGGUGUCCACUGGAAGGGAGAUAACUGACCUUGGAGGAAGCUUGAGGUUAAGCGUGUAUCCUAAGAGCCCGGUUCUUAUUAUUGGAUCCUUUAAACUGCAAAAUGUUUUGAUCUUCUUAUGCUUUAAAGAAUGUGAACACGAGAAAUUGCAUUGGCUGAACCUAAGGAGCUCAUCAGCCUCACUGGGUUUUCUUGUGAACCAAUGGAGUGUCUGCUAGGCAGCAGAUCUUCCCUUCCAGCAUGAAGGAGACUUCUUGGCCACUCGUUUAUGCUGGCUUCAAAGAACUGCAUCGGGAAAAACCAGCCAUUUUCUCUCUUUUCAAAGAAAAGAAGCCUCAGAGUUGGGUGGGGAUGGACAAAGAAGCAAAAGGAAGGAGGAAAAAAAAGAACUUUCUGACAGUAUCCCAAAGACUUGUGUCACUCUAAAUACUAAUUUUUAAUUUUUGUGGUUUUGUAGCCCACAAAUAAUUAAUCUUUAAGGGGACAUAAGACUUUCUUCCUGACCUGCUCCUCAGACAGACGAUUCCAUAUGUCUAAGUGUUUUGCUUAGAAUUCUAAGGCACAGGCCUCUGUGUAUUAUAUUUUAUAUAUCUCCAAACCAAAAAAAAAAACACCUUAGUAAUUAUUAAAAAUGGUAGCAUUGAACAUCAUCAUUCUGCAACUUGGUUAAAGAAUACAAAACAAUGUCUGCAAGAGUCGACUAUGAUUGCCUUUUAACCACUCGGUAUGGUCUUACAACUUCCAUACUGCAGCAUUUAUAAUGUACACCAUACAGUAUAUGAGGAAAAUGAUGGUCUUUUUGACUGAGAGUCAAGGAAAAAAUAGCUAAAAUGUGUUUGAUGAGUAUUUAAAUGUAUAACUGGUUCAGUAAGAAAACAGAGAUAACAUGCGUGCUUCAAAAUUAAAACAAACAAAGAAAGCAGCUUGCUGACCAAUUCGUGAAUAGGCUUUGGAUCAAUAACCAAAGAUAAGACAUUUAAAAUGUAGAAAAUCCCCAUAUUUUCUAUGCCACAUCUUGUUGGUCUGCCUCAGGAUUCACUCAUGAACACUAAUAAGAACGUCUUAUUAGGGAAGGGAAGCAUAUCUUUGUUUCUUGCUGAAGUGGGGCCUUUUGACAACAAUUCUUCCUCAUGAUGCUCGUAUGCAUUUUCAGAUGCAAGUUUGUAAAGUAAGCAGAACAUGAGGUUGGGAAGUAUACCAAGUAUCCCAAGAAAAACAGUCCUUAGAUUGCCAUUUGCCUAACUUUGAACACUAAAGCAUACCUGGUUGCUAUUUCCUGGUUUUUAUGCUUUCCCUACACCUGGGUUUUUCAAAGUGCAUUUUUGCUGGCUAUGAAUAAUUCAAGCCGGUUUCACUUUUACUGCCAAAAUGUAUUGAUAAGUUUCUAAUACCAUGUGUAAAAAUGCCAGAGAAACAAGACGGGCUUUACCAGUGCUCUAUCAUAUAUAGUACAUCGAAUAGGAAUAAUCCUGAAUACAAAAUUGUGGCUCGCUAUGAGACUUUGUGGUUCGGAAGUGUCGUUAAACAGCAGCAGAAAAGCAAAUCGCUCUGUAGUUACUGCUCCUAAAAGGCCCUUGGGGAGAAGCCUUUGUUUGUUUUUAAUUUAAAAGCAUUAACAGAAAGUUCCAGCCAGAGCCACAUCAUUGGAAUUCCAAUAAGAAAAUAUUCAGCCCAAUUUAAUUUUGCAAGCGUGUCACAAGGUCAUGAUUCAGGAUUUAGACUGUUCACACAGAAGGAUUCCUAAGGGAGGAAAAAGGAGAUUCUUAACACUAACAGAGAGCUGAACCAAUGAGGAAGAAAGAGAGAGAAGACAGACAGACAGACAAAAGACAAGGUCCUCAGGGCCAUCUUCAGAGGACCCCUCCCCACUACUGAUUCAUAAUGCUAUCUACCCAUCCAAGAGUCAGCAGAAAACAGUGUCUGCUAUAAAGUGGCUCUUCCCACUGCCAGUGCCUCUACUGGGCCUGUUCCUAGUCCCUGACAAAUGGUACUGUCCUGAUUUGUGAAAGUUUCCCUUGCUAUAGGCAAGAUGACAAGUUUUCUUCUUCGGCUUCGCUGCUCUUCUCUUUCAGCAUGUCACCACCCAGUGAGGAACACAUCAAGCAACUGGGGCCAGGGUCAUCCAUGGGGAGCUCAAAGUCAGGAUGGUGGUCACGACCAUUAAUCAGAGCCCCACCUCACAAAAGUCAAGAUGGCAGCCAUGGCCGUGGGAUAAAGCUUUUUGACACACACACACACACACACACACACACACACGUGUGAAUGCCCAGAUUGGGGCACUGCAGCAGGAAUGGGAUAGAUCACACGUUGGGAUUCUGCCUGUUUGCCUAGGCUGAGCUGUACCCUAUUUGGACAUCUUAAAAUAAUAUAAAAUAAAGUUUUCUGAGCUUCUGCUCUUGAUAUGUG